Molecule: ribosomal RNA, 433 nt
Filed under: uncultured bacterium
Lineage: Bacteria
Description: partial 16S ribosomal RNA
Rfam family: Bacterial small subunit ribosomal RNA
Source: RNAcentral
AAUGAACGCUGGCGGCAGGCCUAACACAUGCAAGUCGAGCGAGCAUUUCGGUGCUAGCGGCGGACGGGUGAGUAACGCGUGGGAACGUGCCCUUUUCUGCGGAAUAGUCCUGGGAAACUGGGGUUAAUACCGCAUACGCCCUUUUGGGGAAAGAUUUAUCGGAGAAGGAUCGGCCCGCGUUGGAUUAGGUAGUUGGUGGGGUAAUGGCCCACCAAGCCGACGAUCCAUAGCUGGUUUGAGAGGAUGAUCAGCCACACUGGGACUGAGACACGGCCCAGACUCCUACGGGAGGCAGCAGUGGGGAAUCUUAGACAAUGGGGGCAACCCUGAUCUAGCCAUGCCGCGUGAGUGAUGAAGGCCUUAGGGUUGUAAAGCUCUUUCAGCUGGGAAGAUAAUGACGGUACCAGCAGAAGAAGCCCCGGCUAACUCCGUG